UAUUAAAAUAUUCAUUUAUUUCUAAUGUUAAAAACUAGCGUGACCAACAAAAUAACCAGAUAAUUACAGGCGGCGUGCCAUGUGUAGCUCAUAUUGACGUACAAUCACUAGUUUUUAACAAUAAAAAUAGAUGAAAUUUUUAAUA
Gossypium hirsutum (cotton) is the source of this 145-nucleotide non-coding RNA. NCBI's taxonomy places the organism in Eukaryota, Viridiplantae, Streptophyta, Magnoliopsida, Malvales, Malvaceae. The record is from Rfam.